Crucibulum laeve is the source of this 94-nucleotide non-coding RNA. The record is from the annotation of a GenBank genome assembly. NCBI's taxonomy places the organism in Eukaryota, Fungi, Basidiomycota, Agaricomycetes, Agaricales, Nidulariaceae.
UCCUUCUUAGCUCAGUUGGUAGAGCGCGUCACUAGUAUAGGAAGAUUCUAGAAACUCAAUGACGAGGUCAGUCGUUCAAGUCGGCUAGAAGGAA